CGGAGGAAGGUGGGGAUGACGUCAAGUCAUCAUGGCCCUUACGGCCUGGGCUACACACGUGCUACAAUGGUCGGUACAAAGGGUUGCCAAGCCGCGAGGUGGAGCUAAAUCCCAUAAAACCGAUCGUAGUCCGGAUCGCAGUCUGCAACUCGACUGCGUGAAGUCGGAAUCGCUAGUAAUCGUGAAUCAGAAUGUCACGGUGAAUACGUUCCCGGGCCUU
RNAcentral lists this ribosomal RNA (220 nucleotides) under uncultured Pseudomonas sp. Its description in RNAcentral is "partial 16S ribosomal RNA". It matches the Rfam family "Bacterial small subunit ribosomal RNA", at positions 1164 to 1382 of the family's 1533-position model. Lineage: Bacteria; Pseudomonadati; Pseudomonadota; Gammaproteobacteria; Pseudomonadales; Pseudomonadaceae. The record is from RNAcentral.